This is a long non-coding RNA of Drosophila willistoni, 168 nucleotides long. RefSeq lists it as uncharacterized. The transcript is spliced from 2 exons. The record is from RefSeq and is a predicted model, not a curated record. NCBI's taxonomy places the organism in Eukaryota, Metazoa, Arthropoda, Insecta, Diptera, Drosophilidae.
GCAAAUCACCAGAGCAAGUAACAACAUUAAUAAGUCUCUAAACAAAAUUAAGGACAUUGCUCGAUAUUAAUGAGGUCACCUCUGUGACUGCCUACAAUGGACGGCAUUUUACGGCUGCAUCUAAUGAAGAUACUGUGGACUGGUUGGCGAGAUCUUGGGGCCAUAUGA